GGUCGAGAUUCAGAAGUUCUUCGAGGAGAAGGUAAGGGAGACGUCAAAGAACGAAGGCAGCGUCUCAUCGGUCGUCAUUAACUGCAAUAAGAGCCACAAGUCAGGAGAGUCGCGCAAUCUGUGCAAAUUCUGCUGUCUUCUGCUCCAAAUGAGAACUGACCUCCCCAGGACGAAGAUGCGCAGAGGCGAAAACAGGUCGGUGUUGUUUGACGCAUGCCAUCUUGCAUCCCAGUUGAUUGGCGUGGACAGGAAAUGGGACUUGAUCGGCAAGGUCUGGGCGAAGUUGCUGAUAUACGCGGCUUGCCAAUGCAAAGGCCACGAACACUGCGAGAGCCUGAGCGGAGGAGGAGAGCUUCUCAGUCAUAUUUGGCUUCGCAUGGCGCAUCUCGGCAUUGCGGAGGCAGUAGAUACUUCCGAACCCCAAGGCCCUGCCAAACUGAUCAAAUACUAGAUGUUUCGGGUGGAAGGAGUCUUUUGGUUUAACCCUAAUGUUAUUUGAGUAAAGAAGAUAAAUAAGUGAAGCUCGUCAUCAUCUUGAUGAGAUGGUGAGGGAGUUGUUUCAAUAUUUGUUGUUCUUGGAGUCUGUCAGGAAAUAAUGAAACUGUGUGUCUGUUGUUA
Syzygium oleosum is the source of this 618-nucleotide long non-coding RNA. RefSeq lists it as uncharacterized. The transcript has 2 exons. The record is from RefSeq and is a predicted model, not a curated record. NCBI's taxonomy places the organism in Eukaryota, Viridiplantae, Streptophyta, Magnoliopsida, Myrtales, Myrtaceae.